GUGUCAGCCGCCGCGGUAAUACGAACUGUGCGAACGUUAUUCGGAAUCACUGGGCUUAAAGGGUGCGUAGGCGGCGCUGUAAGUCAGGUGUGAAAGCCCUCGGCUCAACCGAGGAAUUGCGCUUGAAACUGCAGUGCUUGAGUGAGGUAGGGGUGCAUGGAACUUCCGGUGGAGCGGUGAAAUGUGUAGAUAUCGGAAGGAACGCCGGCGGCGAAAGCGGUGCACUGGGCCUUGUCUGACGCUGAGGCACGAAAGCUAGGGUAGCGAACGGGAUUAGAUACCCCGGUAGUCCUAGCCGUAAACACUGAGCACUGGAGGGGAGGGGUUUCGGCCUUUCCCCUCGCAGCGAAAGCGUUAAGUGCUCCGCCUGGGGAGUAUGGUCGCAAGGCUGAAACUCAAAGGAAUUGGCGG
Molecule: ribosomal RNA, 411 nt
Filed under: uncultured bacterium
Lineage: Bacteria
Description: bacterial SSU rRNA
Rfam family: Bacterial small subunit ribosomal RNA
Source: RNAcentral